UACGUAGGAGGCGAGCGUUGUCCGGAGUUACUGGGCGUAAAGGGUGCGCAGGCGGCGGUUCGCGUGGCGAGAUGAAAUCUCCUGGCUUACCUGGGAGGAUGGUCGCCAGACGGGAUCGCUUGAGGGUCGGAGAGGGGCGUGGAAUUCCGGGUGGAGCGGUGAAAUGCGUAGAGAUCCGGAGGAACACCGACGGCGUAGGCAGCGCCCUGGACGACACCUGACGCUGAGACGCGAAAGCGUGGGGAGCGAACCGG
RNAcentral lists this ribosomal RNA (254 nucleotides) under uncultured bacterium. RNAcentral describes it as "partial 16S ribosomal RNA". It matches the Rfam family "Bacterial small subunit ribosomal RNA", at positions 524 to 776 of the family's 1533-position model. The record is from RNAcentral.